CACACGCGGCAUUGCUGGAUCAGGGUUGCCCCCAUUGUCCAAAAUUCCCCACUGCUGCCUCCCGUAGGAGUCUGGGCCGUGUCUCAGUCCCAGUGUGGCUGAUCGUCCUCUCAGACCAGCUACUGAUCGUCGCCUUGGUGGGCUCUUACCCCACCAACUAGCUAAUCAGACAUCGGCCGCUCCUAUCGCGCGAGGCCGUUACCGGUCCCCCGCUUUCACCCUC
This 223-nucleotide ribosomal RNA is filed under the name Cupriavidus sp. TGCL-2. RNAcentral describes it as "partial 16S ribosomal RNA". Lineage: Bacteria; Pseudomonadati; Pseudomonadota; Betaproteobacteria; Burkholderiales; Burkholderiaceae. The record is from RNAcentral.